This 374-nucleotide ribosomal RNA is filed under the name uncultured bacterium. RNAcentral describes it as "bacterial SSU rRNA". It matches the Rfam family "Bacterial small subunit ribosomal RNA", at positions 524 to 898 of the family's 1533-position model. The record is from RNAcentral.
UACGGAGGGGGCUAGCGUUGUUCGGAAUUACUGGGCGUAAAGCGCGCGUAGGCGGAUCUGCAAGUCGGGGGUGAAAUCCCGAGGCUCAACCUCGGAACUGCCUUCGAUACUGCAGAUCUCGAGUCCGAGAGAGGUGAGUGUAAUUCCUAGUGUAGAGGUGAAAUUCGUAGAUAUUAGGAAGAACACCAGUGGCGAAGGCGGCUCACUGGCUCGGUACUGACGCUGAGGCGCGAAAGCGUGGGGAGCAAACAGGAUUAGAUACCCUGGUAGUCCACGCCGUAAACUAUGGGUGCUAGCCGUCGGGGAGCAUGCUCUUCGGUGGCGCAGCCAACGCAUUAAGCACCCCGCCUGGGGAGUACGGUCGCAAGAUUAAA